CUACGGGACGCUCCAGUGAGGAAUAUUGCACAAUGGGGGGAACCCUGAUGCAGCAACGCCGCGUGGAGGAUGACGCAUUUCGGUGUGUAAACUCCUUUUAUAUGUCAAGAAAAUGACGGUAGCAUAUGAAUAAGCACCGGCUAACUCCGUGCCAGCAGCCGCGGUAAUACGGAGGGUGCAAGCGUUACUCGGAAUCACUGGGCGUAAAGGACGCGUAGGCGGGCUUGUAAGUCAGGUGUGAAAUCCUACAGCUUAACUGUAGAACUGCACUUGAAACUACGAGCCUAGAGUAUGGGAGGGGCAGAUGGAAUUAGUGGUGUAGGGGUAAAAUCCGUAGAUAUCACUAGGAAUACCUAAAGCGAAGGCGAUCUGCUGGAACAUAACUGACGCUAAGGCGUGAAAGCGUGGGGAGCAAACAGGAUUAGAUACCCUAGUAGUC
RNAcentral lists this ribosomal RNA (439 nucleotides) under uncultured bacterium. RNAcentral's name for it is "partial 16S ribosomal RNA". It matches the Rfam family "Bacterial small subunit ribosomal RNA", at positions 339 to 795 of the family's 1533-position model. The record is from RNAcentral.